AUGAAAGAUUUUAGCUGCUAGCAUUUAUGAUGAUGAUAAAACGUUUGUCCUGUGCUUUCCAGAAAUACUGUUGACCCCAGCUAAGAAAGGAAGACUGAAUACAGAGUCGUCAACCUUCAAGAGCAGAAAAAAUCUUGAGGAAAACUUCCAAAGUAUUCGUUUGACUCCUAUGAAGAAAACCCAAAGUAGUAUUUCAAAUAUAGAUGACAACUUCAACAAAAAUAUUAAUUUCCAAGAAAAAUAUAACUUAAUACCUACAUACACAAAAACUCUCCAAACAAACCAAGACACACACUUGAGGAAACAAACAGUCAAAGAGAGACACUACACAGAAUAUCAAGGCUUGAAUGAGAAAAAUAAAUAUUCAUUUGAUGAAGGUGAGGUAAGUUGUGAGGCCAGAUAAUACCCUUACAUAUUUGCAUAAAAAUCC
Molecule: long non-coding RNA, 430 nt
Filed under: Gopherus agassizii (Agassiz's desert tortoise)
Lineage: Eukaryota; Metazoa; Chordata; Testudines; Testudinidae
Description: lncRNA (ENSGAGG00000020352.1)
Source: RNAcentral